AUACUCUGGUUUCUCUUCAGAUCGAAUAAAGCUUUCGCCUUUACUAAAGUUUUCUGUGCAGAGUAUCAUCCAUGAGGUUUUGAAAAAUUUUUGAGGCUUUGCCCCUGGCAGGGU
This is a small nuclear RNA of Bombina bombina (fire-bellied toad), 114 nucleotides long. RefSeq annotates it as U5 spliceosomal RNA. Lineage: Eukaryota; Metazoa; Chordata; Amphibia; Anura; Bombinatoridae. The transcript has a single exon. The record is from RefSeq and is a predicted model, not a curated record.